RNAcentral lists this unclassified non-coding RNA (240 nucleotides) under Ascomycota sp. RNAcentral describes it as "partial contains small subunit ribosomal RNA, internal transcribed spacer 1, and 5.8S ribosomal RNA". The stretch from base 1 to 47 matches the Rfam family "Eukaryotic small subunit ribosomal RNA", at positions 1785 to 1831 of the family's 1831-position model. Lineage: Eukaryota; Fungi; Ascomycota. The record is from RNAcentral.
AAAGUCGUAACAAGGUUUCCGUAGGUGAACCUGCGGAAGGAUCAUUACAUUCAGUACUUUCGGGGCUUGUAAGUCUAUAUCACUAUAGCAUGCCUCUGUCUGAACCCUUGUCUUUUGCGUACUUAUGUUUCCUCGGCGGGCCUGCCCGCCGUUGGACAACCUAAAAACCUUUUUAAUUUUCAAUCAGCGUCUGAACAAACAUAAUAAUUACAACUUUCAACAACGGAUCUCUUGGUUCUG